GUCAGAAUCACAAAGGACAGAGUCAAGCCCAGUAGUGCUGGAAUAAGACAGCAGCAAGAGUGACCUGAAGCUGUCAGAGAUCUUUUGACAUAGGAGCUUAAGUGCUGAGGUUUGGGUGGGGAUAAAUGGAUCAAACUGUGAGUAUUACUGUGAGAGUUUUUAUUUUGACACAACCUGCACUGUACCAUUCAGCAUCCUAAGGAUGUGGACUAUUUUGUACAUCAAUAUGAUGUUGCAGCCUUCCCCUCCUUUCUCUGUACCCCUCUUUCUGGAUUCUUCCAUAUUUAUCUCAUUCUUUUUAUUCCAUGGUAACUGUACUGUUUCCUUCAGUUUAUUUAAAACUUUUCAAUGCAUAGGUAUGUUUGGCAUAACAUGUAAAAAACUGAAUGUACAGAAAUGAAAAAGAGUAACACUUAUUAUAAUGUAGCUACAUGUUUAUGAAAUCUAAGAACUAAAAGCUAGUGGGGGUCCAAAGAGCAACAAAGAUUAUUUGCAGCUGAUUUGGGAGGUUAUUUUAUUGUUGGAUUUUCUGUUCUUGUUGUUGUUGCUUUUUUGAAUUGUUAGCUGCAAACGCAGUUCCAUUGAAACAGAGCCAGGGUAUCAUAACCACACAACACUGAUAUGAGAAUAAUAACCAACUCUCCCUUGCUUUGAGUUCUAUUCUACCCUUAUUUCCCUUAUUUCCACGCAAGUCUCAUUUCAAAAUUCAUAAUCUAAACGUAUCUUCAGGAUCUUAUUUUUAAUAUAAAUAACAAUAGAUAUUAACAUAGUCAAUCAGAUUUUUCACAUGAUGCCCAAGAGCAAAUUCUAAUGUUGAAAAUGUUUUUUCAUUACAUUUUAAUGAGGAAAUCAUGCAAGAAAGUUUUGUAUACUGGGAUUUUACCAAAAUAAGUAUUGUAGGAUCCUGUGCCUAACCAGAAUGACAAUCUAAAUGUAAAAAUUCAUAGUCUGGUGCUUUCUUCCCACAGAAUGACUCAGCCGUCCCUUGGUACAUACGCGGCCAAUGCUGCAGUUUCCCUGUUGAAUUGCGGGAUUAUUAAAUGGGCAUGUGGCCAAGUCAAGGCAAGAAACUCAUUUGGCAAAGGGCAGAGGAGAGGCCUCUUCUACUUAAUAGAAUGCUUGUUUUUUUGUUUUGUGUUGUUUUGUUUUGCUUCUCCUUUCCCAGAGGUAGCUACUACAGCUGUGGAUUUUUGACCCAUUUGCUACAAUUUCAAAGAACUGUGUCCAUAACAAAAUCCACCAUCUUUCCCUCUGAAGUGGUUCAAGUGGUUCUUCUCUUACUUCUAAUUUUAAUGACUGUUACCACACCGUAAUUAGGGGUUCCUGCGCAGCUAUUUUUGCAUGACAGCUAUUUUUGUCUCCUAGAAACAAUGCAUUAAAUAAUAGUCCUGUCUCCCUGGAUUUGAUCAUUAGAGUCCAUAAUCCCAACAGAAGAUGUAGAAUAUUUACUUCUAUUACUUUAAAUGUCAGCUUUUGGAAGUGUAUUUUAUAUACAAUAAAACACAGCCAUUUUAAGGGUACAGUUUGAUGUGUUUUGACAAAUGUAUUUACCCAUGUAACCACCAUCCGCAUCAUGACUUAGGACAUUUUCGUCGACCCUAAAACUUCCCUCAAGACCCUUUGCAGUCCUCCAUUUCCUACUCCAGGCAACAUUCUAUCAUUCUAGAUUAGUGUGACCUCUUCUUAAUUGUAAUAUAAAAGAGAAUCUUAUCCAUGUAUACUCUGGUAUCCAUCUUCUUUUGCUCAACAUAAUGAUCGUUGGCAUUAUCCAUGCUAUAGCAUGUGCCAGUAGUGCAUUAUUUGCUAUUAAUGAAUAGUAAACCAUUACAUAAUUAUAUCACAUAUUAUUUUUUCUGUUUUUUUGUUCAUGAGCAUUGGAUUGUUUCCAGAAUUUGGCUACUAUAAGUUGCUAUGAACCUUCACUUACAAGUCUCUCUGUGGACAUAUGUUUGCAUUUCUCUUGGGUAAAUAUCUAAGAAUGGAAAUGCCGGAUUAUAGGGAUGUCAUCCAGAGCACCAUGUUACAUUUAGUCAUCAGUUUCUAGUUAGGCUUCUUUCGGGUGUGAUAGGUUCUCAGAAUUUUCCUGUUUUUGAUGGCCUUGACAGUUUCCAUCUAUUGGGAUGUCUGACAUCUUUGUCAUGAUCAGACUGGGAUGUGCUUUCUUGGGAGGAAGAUAACCGAGGUCAUACGAAGAAGACGGUGGUUUUUACAUCUUUAUUAUUUAUAAUAUAUAUUAUCAAACCUACCUGGAGAAAGAGUGUACCAGUUUGUCUUCCAAUCAACAGUUUACAAGAGUGCCUAUUUCCCUGCCUUCUUGCCAAUAGUUAUAUAUUAUAAUUAAAAAAAAAAUGCCUAUUUGGUAGAUGACUGAUGAUACCGGAUUUUUGUGCUUAUUUGAUUACUAGUGAAGUUGAACAUAAUUUUAUUCUUUAACUGGAAAUGCAAUAUACCAUAGUGAUUAAAAGCCAGCUCAGGAAUAAGAGACCUGGACUCAACUACCAACACUCUGAUCUAAGGCAAGUGAGUUCACCCUUCUGAGGCUCGGUUUACUCAUAUGUCAAAUGUGGAUGAUGAUACAAUACUCAUGAUAGGUUUAUUGUGAGGACCAAACGAGAAAAUUCUUAUAAAGUUUUGAGCACAAUGUUUGGCAUAUCAUAAGGUUAAACAGACAUUCAUUCUUGUUAGUUUGUGUGUAUUGUUUUAUUCCAUCACUUUUUCAUAUCCUUCAUUGACUUUUCAUGUUUUAUUAAUUUGAAAUAGCUCUUAAAAUACUUAAGUUAUUAAACCUUUGUCACAAAUGUUGCACCCUUUUUAUCCUGGUUUGUAGUUUGCCAUUUAUUUUUGUUCAUAAUGCCUUGACAUCAAAAUAUUUAAAGAUGAUAUAAUCAUAGCUAUUGUGUUCCUUUAUGGAUUCUGCCUUUAAUGUUCUGCCAAGAAUUACCUUUCCCAUUCUAGGUUUUACACACGUAUGCAAAUGAUCUUAUAUUUUAGUUUAAUGUAUAUGUAUAUGAUCUUAUAUUUUAGCUUAAUUUUUUAACAUAUAAAUAUUUAAUUCAUCUGGAAUUCGUGAUUUAGAGAGGUUAAUGGUACCUUCUUUUGCAAUGGACCGCUAGUUUUUCUAACACUAUUGAUUGAAUAAUUGACCCUCAUCUCAAUGAUG
Molecule: long non-coding RNA, 3160 nt
Organism: Chlorocebus sabaeus (green monkey)
Lineage: Eukaryota; Metazoa; Chordata; Mammalia; Primates; Cercopithecidae
Source: RefSeq, a predicted model, not a curated record